UGCGUAGACGGCAUAUUAAGUCAACUGUUAAAUUCUCCGGCCUAACCGGAGGUCAGCGGUAGAUACUGGUAAGCUAGAGGAUGGAAGAGAGAAGUGGAAUUCUCGGAGUAGCGGUAAAAUGCGUAGAUCUCGAGAGGAACACCGAUGGCGAAGGCAGCUUCUUGGUCCAUUUCUGACGUUGAGGCACGAAAGCGUGGGGAGCAAACAGGAUUAGAUACCCUGGUAGUCC
Molecule: ribosomal RNA, 229 nt
Filed under: uncultured bacterium
Lineage: Bacteria
Description: partial 16S ribosomal RNA
Rfam family: Bacterial small subunit ribosomal RNA
Source: RNAcentral